Streptococcus sinensis is the source of this 66-nucleotide non-coding RNA. The record is from Rfam. NCBI's taxonomy places the organism in Bacteria, Bacillati, Bacillota, Bacilli, Lactobacillales, Streptococcaceae.
CAAUACCUAUGAUGGUCAAAGCUCAUGGAUGUUGCAGGCUUUUUUGUCCUGCACUUCUAGAGACUU